AUCGUUCCUUUUUGUUUGUUUGAUGCGGUAACCCAAUGUCAAUUGCACGAAGAACGAUGACGAAGAAGGCAGCUCUGGUACCGGCGCGCCACGUCAUCUGGUUUGGUUGGAAGCUUGUCAUCAUCCUCUCUGUCUCCCUCUGCGUCUUUGCACUCUGCAGACUCCACUUCAAAUCCGAUGUCUCGUCCUCUGCUUCUUCUUUUUAUCGCCC
Molecule: unclassified non-coding RNA, 211 nt
Filed under: Hevea brasiliensis (rubber tree)
Lineage: Eukaryota; Viridiplantae; Streptophyta; Magnoliopsida; Malpighiales; Euphorbiaceae
Source: RNAcentral